Sapajus apella (tufted capuchin) is the source of this 457-nucleotide long non-coding RNA. RefSeq lists it as uncharacterized. Lineage: Eukaryota; Metazoa; Chordata; Mammalia; Primates; Cebidae. The transcript is spliced from 3 exons. The record is from RefSeq and is a predicted model, not a curated record.
UUUAAAGGAAGUCUUGGAAGAGUCCCUGCUGGUAGAGAAAAAAACACCAGCGGUAGGAAUACUUUCUUCUGAUCACAUGGUCUAUUAGAGGUAGCCCCAGUUUGACAUGGUACCCAGGCACCAAACUAACUGCUUUAUGUGAAUUAUCUCAUUUAACCAUCUGAGUAGCUGAAUUGUCUCUGUUUUAUAGAGGCACCAAGAAGCAGACGUAUCAAGGUCUUCCUUUUGAGAUAAACCACAAAUCCGGCGGCAAGAAGACACAGGAUGGUCACCAGAAUUCCUACGGUUAAAGCUUGGUUAUCUGAAACAAAACACAUUGGGCUCACAGAAGGCAGCAGUUACAGUGACGUAUGGGAGGUAUCAAGUGGUGACAUUUAUGGCAAAGUGAACUUUGAGGCAACAAACAGAAAUGAAGAGAGUAAACCCUUGAGUGAUGUACUAAUUGUCUUACUGCAAA